GACGAACGCUGGCGGCGUGCUUAACACAUGCAAGUCGAACGGAAAGGCCCUGCUUUUGUGGGGUGCUCGAGUGGCGAACGGGUGAGUAACACGUGAGUAACCUGCCCUUGACUUUGGGAGAACUUCAGGAAACUGGGGCUAAUACCGGAUAGGAGCUCCUGCUGCAUGGUGGGGGUUGGAAAGUUUCGGCGGUUGGGGAUGGACUCGCGGCUUAUCAGCUUGUUGGUGGGGUAGUGGCUUACCAAGGCUUUGACGGGUAGCCGGCCUGAGAGGGUGACCGGCCACACGGGAACACAGACACGCCCCCGACGACGGCGGGAGGCAGCAGUAUGUCACCUUGGGCAAGUGGCGAGAGCCUGCCGCAGCGCGGCCGCGUGAUCGACGUAGUUCUUCGGAUCGGAUACCUCUUUUAUUAGGGAGGAAGAUAUGUGUAAGGAACCGUGCACAUCGUAACGGUACGUAAUCAGAAAGCCACUGCUAACUCCUUC
This 488-nucleotide ribosomal RNA is filed under the name uncultured bacterium. Its description in RNAcentral is "partial 16S ribosomal RNA". It matches the Rfam family "Bacterial small subunit ribosomal RNA", at positions 28 to 507 of the family's 1533-position model. The record is from RNAcentral.